CAACAGGGAUUGCCCUAGUAACGGCGAGUGAAGCGGCAACAGCUCAAAUUUGAAAUCUGGCUCUCGGGCCCGAGUUGUAAUUUGUAGAGGAUACUUUUGAUGCGGUGCCUUCCGAGUUCCCUGGAACGGGACGCCAUAGAGGGUGAGAGCCCCGUCUGGUUGGAUGCCAAAUCUCUGUAAAGUUCCUUCGACGAGUCGAGUAGUUUGGGAAUGCUGCUCUAAAUGGGAGGUAUAUGUCUUCUAAAGCUAAAUACCGGCCAGAGACCGAUAGCGCACAAGUAGAGUGAUCGAAAGAUGAAAAGCACUUUGAAAAGAGAGUUAAAAAGUACGUGAAAUUGUUGAAAGGGAAGCGUUUAUGACCAGACUUGGGCUUGGUUAAUCAUCUGGGGUUCUCCCCAGUGCACUUUUCCAGUCCAGGCCAGCAUCAGUUUUCCCCGGGGGAUAAAGACUUCAGGAAUGUGGCUCUCUUCGGGGAGUGUUAUAGCCUGUUGUGUAAUACCCUGGGGGGGACUGAGGUUCGCGCAUCUGCAAGGAU
This 535-nucleotide ribosomal RNA is filed under the name Fusarium sp. NRRL 25221. Its description in RNAcentral is "eukaryotic LSU rRNA". It matches the Rfam family "Eukaryotic large subunit ribosomal RNA", at positions 66 to 624 of the family's 3401-position model. Lineage: Eukaryota; Fungi; Ascomycota; Sordariomycetes; Hypocreales; Nectriaceae. The record is from RNAcentral.